GACGAACGCUGGCGGCGUGCUUAACACAUGCAAGUCGAACGGAAAGGCCUCUUUCGGGGGGUACUCGAGUGGCGAACGGGUGAGUAACACGUGAGUAACCUGCCCUUGACUUUGGGAUAACUUCAGUAAACUGGGGCUAAUACCGGAUAGGAGCUCCUGCUGCAUGGUGGGGGUUGGAAAGUUUCGGCGGUUGGGGAUGGACUCGCGGCUUAUCAGCUUGUUGGUGGGGUAGUGGCUUACCAAGGCUUUGACGGGUAGCCGGCCUGAGAGGGUGACCGGCCACAUUGGGACUGAGAUACGGCCCAGACUCCUACGGGAGGCAGCAGUGGGGAAUAUUGCACAAUGGGUGGAAGCCUGAUGCAGCAACGCCGGGUGCGGGAUGACGGCCUUCGGGUUGUAAACCGCUUUCGCUCAUGACGAAGCUUUGUGUGACGGUAGUGGGUAAAGAAGCACCGGCUAACUACGUG
Molecule: ribosomal RNA, 467 nt
Filed under: uncultured bacterium
Lineage: Bacteria
Description: partial 16S ribosomal RNA
Rfam family: Bacterial small subunit ribosomal RNA
Source: RNAcentral